GUCUUGAUGCAGUUUUUUGGCUAAAAGUUGACGAAUUCUUCGUCUCACAACGUCUGUCAUUUGUUUUACGUUUGCCAUCAGUUUUAGGCAGUAACUGUUAGCUGUCGAGAGUACCGGAACAGACUGUGAAGUAUUUCUAUAGAUCUAAAUAUGGUUCGUAAAAAAGGACAUUUUGUCUGGCAUUCGGAAUUCCUACACUAGUGAUCCAUGAGGACUUUAUCCAGUUUCCAGAAUGGCAGGAAGGAAGGACUUAUUGAAUUGGACCACUUGACAAGGCAGCUUACAAAAGUCAGAAAUUUAAAAGCAGCCACUGGGCGACAUUAAAUUAAAGCUUGUCUACAUUUUCCAUAAAAUUUCCAAAAUAAAUAUUGGAAAAAAAACAACAUGGAAAUACAAUAGACAUCAACACAAAAUAGCACAGCACCAGUAUGAAUGCGGAAGUUAUCAUGAGUGGUGUGGCAUUGUUCCUGUUCAUUUAUGGUUUACAGAUUCCAAAAGUCUGAACCAGAUAUGAGUAGAGUACAGUUUGAGAAAUGUCUUGGUAGAACAGAUACUAAGGAAACAAUAAAAGGCAGAACAGACCACAUUUCUCCUUCUUAUAACUGGUAAAGUUCGAAGUAAGGGCGAGUACAGUAAUGCAGCCCCAGUGAGAGUUCAUGAUGUGUCAGCCGUAAAUGUGUGGUCGUUAAAUGAUGUGCAGUCAGAUUGACAAGUAACAUUAAUUUAUCAAUUCUGAGAGAAAUUUUUGCUGUGCUUUGUGCAGGAUACUCUUAAAAAAUACGUGAACCAGAAUUUUAUAUUAUAAGUACAAUGUCAGAUGUACUCCAGACUUCACACAUAUGUUGAUGUUUAUACAUAUUUGGUGAUUAAUUUGUCAAGUGAAGAAAUUUUAUGAAUAAUGUUAGUGGGUGACAGAACAGAAGUACAAAGUCAAUUACAGAGGUCGACAACACUGAGUUUAGGAUGCAGAAAAAAUCCAGUGAUUCUGACGAAACAACAUACAUAGAAAGAUUAUACUAGUAAAAUGAAAACUUUUAGUGUAUGGAAAAGUUUGGAAGCAGGUUUACCAUUGACAGAAGAGACAGUAUUUACAGACUGGUCUACACUUAUUUUGAUUUGACUUUUACACGGUGAUUCCUCCAGUAAACAGCUAGUGAUCUGAGAGAAUUGUGUUCAUUAUAUCAUACAGGUUUAGAGUGAAUGUAAAAUUAAUGUGUAUUUAAAUCAAUCAAAAUUUUUCAAAAUUGGAUGUUGAAACUUUACAACUGUUUAGUAUUUCAGUAAUCAGUUAGGAUUUUUGAGUGAUUUCAAUAAAGUACAAAUUAAAAAAAAAAAGAAUCACUAUCAGCCAAGAUGAUGUACUAUUGUAAAAGAUAGAAAGAAAAUUCACAAGUCACAUUAACUUGGUAAAAGGGAUUUUAACAGAAUUAAACUAUAAUUGGUGAAGGAAUCUGCAUGUUGUAUCAAAUAGCUAUAAUGUAUUUUGUAGUUCUUUGGAUGUAUCUUCUAUCUAUCUCUUUUCAAACUAAAUUUUGUCUCUUAAAUCUAUUGAAAUUGCCAUCAAAAUAAAAAUUUCUUUUAAAAACAAUUAAAAGGUAUAUUCAACAAGCCAGUACUUUGUUACUAAUCUUAGUCAGUGGAAUUUAUUUUUAGACUUGUCCUAUUUUUUUUGAUUCAGUUUCUGGAUCCCCAUUUAUUAGUUACUGUACACAUUUUGGGAUUCCAGCAAUUUUCCACAUCCUCAUUACAAGGUAGUAUUGAUUUUUCAUUGGUCCAAUGGUUAACUAUGUAUAAUGCUAUAAAGUAAAACUGUUCUAUUAAUAGAUUUUCAGAAAAUCUGUUUGAGUUAUUUAUACCCAGUAUACAAAUUCAUGUACUUUUAUUUGAUUUGAACAUUACUGUUUAAUAUUAUCCUGAACAAAUUACAGGUUUUCUUUGCUUUAUAUUAGAGAAUUUUGGUAAAUUUCGUUGAUGAAAGGUCCAAGGUACUUUUCUCAAAUAGUCAAUUAAUAGAAAUUUUCAAAUAUAAUAUCUUGUGCAGUGAAUUAAAAAGAAAUUUAUUUAUUUCAGUACUAGUCAGUUCUGAACUUGAAAGAUACUUUGAUAGGUUUUUAGCUCGACUAUUCGAAGAAUAGGGGAGCUAUCCUACUCGCCCCGGCGUGAGCGCGAGCGUCACACAAAUGUUAAAGUUUGCAUACCACCCCAAAUAUUUUCAAAGUGCAUUAAGAUAUUGCUUUCAUAUUUUACAUACUUGUUUACCAUCAUGACCCCAGUCUGUAAAAAAGAGGAGGCAACUCUGUCAAGCAUUUUGACUGAAUUAUGGCCCCUUUUCGACUUAGAAUAAAUGUUAAGGUUUGCGUACCACCGCAAAUAUUUUCAAAGUCCAUUGAGGUAUUGCUUUCAUAUUUUGCAUACUUGUUUACCAUCAUGAUCCCAGUCUGUAAAAAGGAGGAGGCAACUCUAUCAAGCAUUUUGACUGAAUUAUGGCCCCUUUUCGACUUAGAAUAAAUGUUAAAGUUUGCGUACCACCCCAAAUAUUUUCAAAGUCCAUUGAGAUAUCGCUUUCAUAUUUUGCUUACUUGUUUACCAUCAUGACCCAAGUCUGUAAAAAGGAGGAGGCAACUCUAUCAAGCAUUUUCACUGAAUUAUGGCCCCUUUUCGACUUAGAAUAAAUGUUAGUUUGCGUACCACCCCAAAUAUUUUCAAAGUGCAUUAAGAUAUUGCUUUCAUAUUUUGCAUACUUGUUUACCAUCAUGACCCCAGUCUGUAAAAAAGAGGAGGCAACUCUGUCAAGCAUUUUGACUGAAUUAUGGCCCCUUUUCGACUUAGAAUAAAUGUUAAAGUUUGCGUACCACCCCAAAUAUUUUCAAAGUCCAUUGAGGUAUUGCUUUCAUAUUUUGCAUACUUGUUUACCAUCAUGACCCCAGUCUGUGAAAAGGAGGAGGCAACUCUAUCAAGCAUUUUGACUGAUUUAUGGCCCCUUUUUGACUUAGAAUAAAUGUUAAAGUUUGCGUACCACCCCAAAUAUUUUCAAAGUCCAUUGAGAUAUUGCUUUCAUAUUUUGCAUACUUGUUUACCAUCAUGACCCCAGUCUGUAAAAAGGAGGAGGCAACUCUAUCGAGCAUUUUGACUGAAUUAUGGCCCCUUUUCGACUUAGAAUAAAUGUUAAAGUUUGCGUACCACCCCAAAUAUUUUCAAAGUCCAUUGAGAUAUUGCUUUCAUAUUUUGCAUACUUGUUUACCAUCAUGACCCCAGUCUGUAUAAAGGAGGAGGCAACUCUAUCAAGCAUUUUGACUGAAUUAUGGCCCCUUUUCGACUUAGAAUAUGCUUAUAGUAAUGUUAAAGUUUUACUCAUUGCUUAUCAAGCACUGAGAAUAGUUGAGCGCGCUGUCCACUGACAGCUCUUGUUGGUUUAAUUCAGUAACUUACUAUAGGAAGAAUUAUUUAAGGUAGCUCAACACAACUUCUGGACAUUAAGGUGAUUUAUUAUCAUAUAUGAUAUAAGAUAAUUUUCAUUGAGUCCUACAUACCAGAACAUUUUUGAGUGACAAUUAGAAAUAUUUUAGAUUACUUGGGGUGGUUCACUACCUGUUAGAAAUAUUUAAGGUGGUUAACCAUCUGUUAGAAAAUGAAAAUACGGUACAGUACUGGGACUUGUUUUUGCAGGCAAUUAUCACAACAUGAAAUUUUAUAGGUGCUGAAUUGAAGGUCAUUUCCUCCAUGGUUAUUGUCGUGGUGUUUAUAACUCCCCCGCCACAAGUGGUGGGGGUUAUAGGAAUGGUCUCUGUCCAUCCUUCCCUACUUCCGUCCUUCCAUCUUCCGUCCUUCUGUAACAUUUUGUGUCCGCUCUGUAUCUCCUAAACCCCUUGAACAUGUUGAAGGAUUUUCAUGAAACUUGGUUCAAAUAAUCACCUCAUCAAGACAAUGUGCAGAACCCAUGAGUCUCCCAUGUCGGUUCAAGGUCAAGGUCACAACUCAAAGCCUUCAAUUUUGUGUCUGCUCUGUAUCUCCUAAACCCCUUCAAGUGUGCUGUUAACAGACAGCUUUUGUGAUAUAUCAGGAGCACAUAAUUCCGGACAAGCUGGUCUGAUCAUACCCAAAAUCGAGUUAUUCCAAGAGCUUGUGCUCGUAUACAUUGCCAUUAAAUCUGAUCAAAAUUGUUAUGAAAAUGUUCAACUAGAGCGUUAAAAUUGUCAAAUAUUGCAACAUUUUAGGCCAUACCAAAUUGAUAUGUCGUUCGUCGGAACUACCGCAUCAAUAAUUCCAUUCCCGAGAAAAAAAAAUAAAAAUUACCCGCCCGCACGUACAUAAAAAUCUCCGAAAAAAAAAAUUUUUUUUCGAUUAUGCGGUCCGGAAUAAUAACGGCAAAACAGGUUUUAUCGCUGUUUUAAUGCGUCAAAGUGAUAUUGAUCGGAUUUCAUGCGUCCGUAAUACAUGUAGCUGAUGAUCCAAACUCAAAAAAGUCAGGAAUUAUGGUGUUGUUCAUCAUCUGUUUUAAAUCUGGAGUGUCUGUGCUAGUGCCACACAUGGCCUUCGAUGUGCCGGUAGGUAAUGAAAUAGGCACAUUCUACUUUUGUUCAAUACAGUGAAAAGAACGAAGCCCGACUUGUAAGACGUGCACGGGGAUGCAGUUAAAAUAUUUGGAAAUAUUGUUCAGAUAUAAAGUUUUCAAACCAUUUGUUAUCAGUUGUUUAAUUCAGCAUGUUAGAUCUAGAG
Long non-coding RNA from Mercenaria mercenaria, 4716 nucleotides. RefSeq lists it as uncharacterized. The record is from RefSeq and is a predicted model, not a curated record. NCBI's taxonomy places the organism in Eukaryota, Metazoa, Mollusca, Bivalvia, Venerida, Veneridae. The transcript has 2 exons.